RNAcentral lists this ribosomal RNA (798 nucleotides) under uncultured bacterium. Its description in RNAcentral is "bacterial SSU rRNA". It matches the Rfam family "Bacterial small subunit ribosomal RNA", at positions 63 to 846 of the family's 1533-position model. The record is from RNAcentral.
CGAGGGGCAGCGGGGAGCAAGCUUGCUUGCUCUGCCGGCGACCGGCGCACGGGUGAGUAACACGUAUGCAACCUGCCCUCCGCAGGGGGAUAACCCGGAGAAAUCCGGACUAAUACCGCGUGGUACAUCUGUGGGGCAUCCCACGGGUGUUAAAAGGAAGCGAUUCCGGCGGAGGAUGGGCAUGCGGCGCAUUAGCUUGUUGGCGGGGUAACGGCCCACCAAGGCGACGAUGCGUAGGGGUUCUGAGAGGAAGGUCCCCCACACUGGUACUGAGACACGGACCAGACUCCUACGGGAGGCAGCAGUGAGGAAUAUUGGUCAAUGGGCGGGAGCCUGAACCAGCCAAGUCGCGUGAGGGAAGACGGUCCUAUGGAUUGUAAACCUCUUUAGGCGGGGAGCAAUGCCGGGCACGCGUGCCCGGAGGGAGAGUACCCGCAGAAUAAGCAUCGGCUAACUCCGUGCCAGCAGCCGCGGUAAUACGGAGGAUGCGAGCGUUAUCCGGAUUUAUUGGGUUUAAAGGGUGCGUAGGCGGAUUUUUAAGUCAGCGGUAAAAUGUCCGGGCUCAACCCGGGCCGGCCGUUGAAACUGGGGAUCUUGAGUGGGCGAGAAGUAUGCGGAAUGCGUGGUGUAGCGGUGAAAUGCAUAGAUAUCACGCAGAACUCCGAUUGCGAAGGCAGCAUACCGGCGCCCGACUGACGCUGAGGCACGAAAGCGUGGGGAUCGAACAGGAUUAGAUACCCUGGUAGUCCACGCAGUAAACGAUGAAUGCUAGUUGUCCGGUUCUUUGGGACUGGGUGA